RNAcentral lists this ribosomal RNA (271 nucleotides) under Bacillus anthracis (anthrax bacterium). RNAcentral's name for it is "partial 16S ribosomal RNA". It matches the Rfam family "Bacterial small subunit ribosomal RNA", at positions 111 to 375 of the family's 1533-position model. Lineage: Bacteria; Bacillati; Bacillota; Bacilli; Caryophanales; Bacillaceae. The record is from RNAcentral.
UAACACGUGGGUAACCUGCCCAUAAGACUGGGAUAACUCCGGGAAACCGGGGCUAAUACCGGAUAACAUUUUGAACCGCAUGGUUCGAAAUUGAAAGGCGGCUUCGGCUGUCACUUAUGGAUGGACCCGCGUCGCAUUAGCUAGUUGGUGAGGUAACGGCUCACCAAGGCAACGAUGCGUAGCCGACCUGAGAGGGUGAUCGGCCACACUGGGACUGAGACACGGCCCAGACUCCUACGGGAGGCAGCAGUAGGGAAUCUUCCGCAAUGGA